This is a long non-coding RNA of Bombus huntii, 280 nucleotides long. RefSeq lists it as uncharacterized. The record is from RefSeq and is a predicted model, not a curated record. NCBI's taxonomy places the organism in Eukaryota, Metazoa, Arthropoda, Insecta, Hymenoptera, Apidae. The transcript has 2 exons.
UUUUGGGUUUACCUUCUCUCGUAAUUUCUUCAGUAACUGUCACUUGUUCUCUGACUUCUUCUACUUCAGUUGGUGUAAUACGUUCGGGAGCGGGCAGUGGUUUUAUGGUUUCCUCCACAAUUUCCUCUGUUGGUCCUUCAGUCACUGUUGUUUCGGGUUUCUUUCCAUGCUCCUCAACCGUUACCACUUCCGUCACCUGUUGUUCUUUACCUCUUCGUUUAAUUAUCUUCUUCUUGGUAACCUUUUUGGGUUUACCUUCUCUCGUAAUUUCUUCAGUAAC